Molecule: ribosomal RNA, 254 nt
Filed under: uncultured bacterium
Lineage: Bacteria
Description: partial 16S ribosomal RNA
Rfam family: Bacterial small subunit ribosomal RNA
Source: RNAcentral
UACGGGGGGGGCAAGCGUUGUUCGGAAUUACUGGGCGUAAAGGGCUCGUAGGUGGCCAACUAAGUCGGAUGUGAAAUCCCCAGGCUUAACCUGGGAACUGCAUCCGAUACUGGAUGGCUUGAAUCCGGGAGAGGGAUGCAGAAUUCCAGGUGUAGCGGUGAAAUGCGUAGAUAUCUGGAGGAAUACCGGUGGCGAAGGCGGCAUCCUGGACCGGCAUUGACGCUGAGUGAGCGAAAGCCAGGGGAGCAAACGGG